Molecule: ribosomal RNA, 402 nt
Filed under: Bacteroidota bacterium
Lineage: Bacteria; Pseudomonadati; Bacteroidota
Description: Bacteroidetes bacterium partial 16S ribosomal RNA
Rfam family: Bacterial small subunit ribosomal RNA
Source: RNAcentral
UGGGGAAUUUUGCACAAUGGGGGAAACCCUGAUGCAGCGACGCCGCGUGAUUUAGAAGGCCUUCGGGUUGUAAAAAUCUUUUCUAUGGGAAGAAAAUGACAGUACCAUAGGAAUAAGGACCGGCUAAUUACGUGCCAGCAGCCGCGGUAAUACGUAAGGUCCGAGCGUUGUCCGGAAUCAUUGGGCGUAAAGGGUACGUAGGCGGGUAAGCAAGUUAGAAGUGAAAUCCUGUAGCUCAACUACAGUAAGCUUUUAAAACUGCUCAUCUUGAGAUAUGGAAGGGAAAGUGGAAUUCCUAGUGUAGCGGUGAAAUGCGCAGAUAUUAGGAGGAAUACCGGUGGCGAAGGCGACUUUCUGGCCAUAAUCUCACGCUGAGGUACGAAAGCGUGGGUAGCAAACAGG